CACGUAGGCACCAAGCGUUGUCCGGAUUUAUUGGGCGUAAAGAGCUCGUAGGCGGUUCAGUAAGUCAGGUGUGAAAUCUUUGGGCUUAACCCAAAGCGUGCAUUUGAUACUGCUGUGACUUGAGUUCGGUAGGGGAGUGGGGAAUUCCUAGUGUAGCGGUGAAAUGCGCAGAUAUCGGGAGGAACACCAGUGGCGAAGGCGGCACUCUGGGCCAGUACUGACGCUGAGGAGCGAAAGCGUGGGGAGCGAACAGG
This 254-nucleotide ribosomal RNA is filed under the name uncultured bacterium. Its description in RNAcentral is "partial 16S ribosomal RNA". It matches the Rfam family "Bacterial small subunit ribosomal RNA", at positions 524 to 776 of the family's 1533-position model. The record is from RNAcentral.